CAGGCUUUUGUGGCGCAGUCGACUCUCGCGCAGCCCCAGCCCGCGGCUCGCGGCCCCGCAGCCUGGCGGGGCCGAGCAGUGCGCACCCCCUCCCACUCGCGCGGACUCCCGGCACCCGCCCUCCCACCUUCCGCUGCCAGCCCCCCAGACCCCGCCGCGCUGGCCCCCUUCCCUUGCCCCGCCCCCAGCUUGGCCCGCGAGAAGCCGGCAGAGGCCGCCGGGCUGCCACCUGGGGGGACGAACGGCCCGUGCCCCCUCUCCGCCCGGGUGACUGAGCGCAGGACCCUAGUGCCAGGGCCGAGAGCCGCGGGUGAUGGGGCGGGAGCGUGGCACCCGAGGCCCGGGUCCUCCUGGGGGUGCCGUGCGUGGCUCUCACUUCCACCUUCCUGCGUCCACCCUGCCUGCCGCACGGUGCGAAGCUCCCCGCGUGGCCUCGCGUCUGGUCUCCGGCCCCGCGCCGCCCGGCGUGUCCCCGCGGGACCCGGAUCCGGGGCACUUUCGUUGCGAACUGCCAGGAGGGCCCUGAGUUGACUCUUCUUUCGGAUUUGUGUUGUAAAACACUCGGGGGAAUGAUUGUCACCGGACAGACCGCCUCUGGCGCGACGUGAAGCCUCGCUGUCACUCGGGAAGGGACGAGAAAACGACAGGCUGGUGGCAAGGGCGGCGCAGUAGGCAGCACAGGUAGCUCAGGUCCAGGGGACCAGUUGUAAACGGCAGUGCCGGGCUUGAGCAGAACCCACCGUCCUUGGCCUGCGGGUGGGUGGCUCCCGAUUAAAGUUGGCUGGGUCUUCUUUUUAAAAACUCAAUCGAAAGAACAGGCUGCAUGUGUCGAGGCUCGACGCGGUGGCUGGGAGCGCGGCCGCCUGCGACGGUGGCCUGGAUUCGCUGGAACUGCGUCUCGGGUCACCGCGGGGAGCGCUCGGCUGCGCCCCGGGCCGCCAGGCCGCCUCUCUCCGAGAGCAGGGACCUAGAUGCUUCGCUCACGGGCGUGGAGGGCGUUCAGGCCUGUGGAGCGUCUGCGUCCGGACGUACACUUGGCUUCUGUGGCUUUCAGUUGCCCUCCGAGCUGGAUUUAAAGAGAAGGGCCGGCACGCAGGGCCAACCGGGUAAGUGCCCGGAAAGCGCGCUCACACGGAACCAUUAACCUGGGCAGUGAGCUUUCAGGUUUACGGUGGAUCCCCUCGCCCCUUUGCCCCAGUGGCCGAUGCCUUUGGAACAAGUCGGCGUGGACAUGCACGUUUCAAGAAGCUGUGGUUUCCUGGAGGCCAAGCUCUGGGAAACGGCAGAAACGCUCGCGGGCUUGGGCUCCGGGCCCUUCCCGGAAAGCGGCGGCGGCGCAGACCGUGGCGCCCUCCACCUCCGUCCUGGGGCUCCCGGGAGCCGGGCAGGCUGAGCGGCGACGCGGCCCGAAGUCGUGCGCGCGGGCGGCGAGGGGGCGCUGUGGCCCGCGGCUGCCGCCUCGUCCCCGCCGCGGUGGCCCCGGCGCUGUCCCCGGCCACCGACGGGCGGCGGGAGUCCCGGACCUGCCUCCUCCCACGUCGGUUUGAUUCGGGGAAGAAGGACAAUAACACUGGAGCAUUUCAAUAAAACCUGAGCCUCACUCGACCUUUCUCUCGUUCCGCCUUCUUCCGGGGAGUUUGUAAGAGUUUGGUGGGAAAAUAGGUGCCAUU
Molecule: RNA transcript, 1670 nt
Organism: Balaenoptera ricei (Rice's whale)
Lineage: Eukaryota; Metazoa; Chordata; Mammalia; Artiodactyla; Balaenopteridae
Exons: 5
Source: RefSeq, a predicted model, not a curated record